GGGGGCGUAGUUCAAUUGGUAGAGCGUCUGACUCCAGAUCAGAAGGUUGCUUGUUAAAGUCAUGUCGUCCUCA
This 73-nucleotide transfer RNA is filed under the name Acanthamoeba castellanii str. Neff. It matches the Rfam family "tRNA". Rfam says of the family: Transfer RNA (tRNA) molecules are approximately 80 nucleotides in length. Their secondary structure includes four short double-helical elements and three loops (D, anti-codon, and T loops). Lineage: Eukaryota; Discosea; Longamoebia; Acanthamoebidae. The record is from Rfam by way of RNAcentral.